RNAcentral lists this ribosomal RNA (258 nucleotides) under uncultured bacterium. RNAcentral describes it as "partial 16S ribosomal RNA". It matches the Rfam family "Bacterial small subunit ribosomal RNA", at positions 15 to 257 of the family's 1533-position model. The record is from RNAcentral.
GAUCAUGGCUCAGGAUGAACGCUGGCGGCGUGCUUAACACAUGCAAGUCGAACGGGAAACCUAUUAUUGAAACUUCGGUCGAUUUAAUUUGUUUCUAGUGGCGGACGGGUGAGUAACGCGUGGGUAACCUGCCCUAUACAGGGGGAUAACAACCAGAAAUGGUUGCUAAUACCGCAUAAGCGCACAGGACCGCAUGGUCCGGUGUGAAAACUCCGGUGGUAUAGGAUGGACCCGCGUUGGAUUAGCUGGUUGGCAGGG